AUUGUGGCUACUUUGUGCAAUGGGAGAAGCCUGAGCUAUCCUUGCUGCGUGACUGUUGAAGUCUUUAGGCCUGUAUGCUUUUUUCGCCCGUGACGAUGCUGACGGUAACGGGAGAUGAUGCCCCGGCUUAAUUUCGUGCCAGCAGCCGCGGUAAUACGAAGGGGGCUUAGCGUUCCUCGGAUUUAUUGGGCCGUAAAGCGCGCUUAGGCGGCUUCUGCAAGCCCAGAGGUUGAAAAUGCCUUGAGCUUUAACUUUGGGAAACUGCCUCUCUGGGAAUUGCGAGGCUUUCGAGGGAUCUGGGAGAGGUUGAUUUGGAUACCUCCCCAGUUUUAGAGUUUUUAAAACUUGUUAGACUACUUUGGGGAAUGAACCACCCGGUUGGCGAAGGGCGGCUUCACUUGGCCCAGUCUCUUCUGACCGCUUCUAAGCCCCCGAAAUGCUGUUGGGGGGAAUCAAAUACAGGGUCACUAGGUAUCCCCUCUGGUUAGUUCCCAACGCUCUUCUAAAAACAUAUGAACUGUCUAGUCCUCUCGGCCCCCGUCUCUGCCUCUGUUCGUUUCUCGCCAACUCUAAACGCCUGUUGAAGCAAACCCCCUGCCUUCGGGGGGAGACUAACGGUCUCGCCAUGACACACAAAAACCACCUCAAAGAA
RNAcentral lists this ribosomal RNA (652 nucleotides) under uncultured bacterium. RNAcentral's name for it is "partial 16S ribosomal RNA". The stretch from base 1 to 404 matches the Rfam family "Bacterial small subunit ribosomal RNA", at positions 353 to 873 of the family's 1533-position model. The record is from RNAcentral.